RNAcentral lists this ribosomal RNA (548 nucleotides) under uncultured bacterium. RNAcentral describes it as "bacterial SSU rRNA". It matches the Rfam family "Bacterial small subunit ribosomal RNA", at positions 355 to 895 of the family's 1533-position model. The record is from RNAcentral.
UAGGGAAUCUUCGGCAAUGGACGGAAGUCUGACCGAGCAACGCCGCGUGAGUGAAGAAGGUUUUCGGAUCGUAAAGCUCUGUUGUAAGAGAAGAACGAGUGUGAGAGUGGAAAGUUCACACUGUGACGGUAUCUUACCAGAAAGGGACGGCUAACUACGUGCCAGCAGCCGCGGUAAUACGUAGGUCCCGAGCGUUGUCCGGAUUUAUUGGGCGUAAAGCGAGCGCAGGCGGUUAGAUAAGUCUGAAGUUAAAGGCUGUGGCUUAACCAUAGUAGGCUUUGGAAACUGUUUAACUUGAGUGCAAGAGGGGAGAGUGGAAUUCCAUGUGUAGCGGUGAAAUGCGUAGAUAUAUGGAGGAACACCGGUGGCGAAAGCGGCUCUCUGGCUUGUAACUGACGCUGAGGCUCGAAAGCGUGGGGAGCAAACAGGAUUAGAUACCCUGGUAGUCCACGCUGUAAACGAUGAGUGCUAGGUGUUAGACCCUUUCCGGGGUUUAGUGCCGUAGCUACGCAUUAAGCACUCCGCCUGGGGAGUACGACCGCAAGGUU